Long non-coding RNA from Acinonyx jubatus (cheetah), 757 nucleotides. RefSeq lists it as uncharacterized. The record is from RefSeq and is a predicted model, not a curated record. Lineage: Eukaryota; Metazoa; Chordata; Mammalia; Carnivora; Felidae. The transcript has 3 exons.
GGGGGAGGAGACAGGGACAUGGAAAGUUCUAGUCACAGUACAUGCUAGGAACUUUCACUUCUGUGCAUUCCAUUUUUGCAGAAUGUUAGAGCCAGGAAGCAUGGAAAGAACUUUCAUCUCAGUCCUGAAGGGUCCCCGUGGAAAUCAAUUCAAGCUUGACUUCUGAGUAAGAGAUGUGACCAGCACAAGAGAACAAGGCCAAGUUGACAACACAGAAAGAGGUGAUCCCAGCAUGAAGAAGUUAGGGUAUCUUCUUAUUCUUCCCCGAGAAGAAUUCCAUCCCCUGCCCUGGGAAAAGAAACCAGAACAGCUGAUGCCCUGUUUUUCCUUGCCAUACUGUCGGGAGAAGAGCAAAGCAACGAGCUCAAAUACUAGAAGACAACAGCAUCACAUGUUACUCUUCCAUAUGGACUUAAAGAGAAAAUAAGAAAGGAUAGAAUCUCCUUCCUUGUUAGCUGGACCUUCUGUAGUCAAGCAGGUCCUUUGGGAGAAAACUAGGCUGAAAAACACAGCGACAUCUGAUGGUUUGUUGACCUGAUUCACCCGUCCCAUUUGGAUAACGCCUGUGGUGGCUGACAGCUGAAAAAAGUCUCCACAAAGAAUCUUGUCCUGAAGUCUCAACUGAGCACUUUCUGGAAACAGGUAUUAAAGAAAAGUUUUUGCUGAAGAAGGAUCUUUACCUUGCGUGUAUUUGUUUAGUCUAUGCUUAUUAGACCUCAGAUUUCCUUAUGUUCCACGAAAAUGAUGAAGAUGUGUU